RNAcentral lists this ribosomal RNA (641 nucleotides) under Micromonospora sp. I15A-00847. RNAcentral describes it as "bacterial SSU rRNA". It matches the Rfam family "Bacterial small subunit ribosomal RNA", at positions 99 to 755 of the family's 1533-position model. The record is from RNAcentral. Lineage: Bacteria; Bacillati; Actinomycetota; Actinomycetes; Micromonosporales; Micromonosporaceae.
CGAACGGGUGAGUAACACGUGAGUAACCUGCCCUAGGCUUUGGGAUAACCCUCGGAAACGGGGGCUAAUACCGGAUAUGACCUUGCCCUGCAUGGGGUUUGGUGGAAAGUUUUUCGGCCUGGGAUGGGCUCGCGGCCUAUCAGCUUGUUGGUGGGGUGAUGGCCUACCAAGGCGACGACGGGUAGCCGGCCUGAGAGGGCGACCGGCCACACUGGGACUGAGACACGGCCCAGACUCCUACGGGAGGCAGCAGUGGGGAAUAUUGCACAAUGGGCGGAAGCCUGAUGCAGCGACGCCGCGUGAGGGAUGACGGCCUUCGGGUUGUAAACCUCUUUCAGCAGGGACGAAGCGCAAGUGACGGUACCUGCAGAAGAAGCACCGGCCAACUACGUGCCAGCAGCCGCGGUAAGACGUAGGGUGCGAGCGUUGUCCGGAUUUAUUGGGCGUAAAGAGCUCGUAGGCGGCUUGUCGCGUCGACCGUGAAAACUUGGGGCUCAACCCCAAGCCUGCGGUCGAUACGGGCAGGCUAGAGUUCGGUAGGGGAGACUGGAAUUCCUGGUGUAGCGGUGAAAUGCGCAGAUAUCAGGAGGAACACCGGUGGCGAAGGCGGGUCUCUGGGCCGAUACUGACGCUGAGGAGCG